Molecule: ribosomal RNA, 337 nt
Filed under: uncultured Bacillota bacterium
Lineage: Bacteria; Bacillati; Bacillota
Description: bacterial SSU rRNA
Rfam family: Bacterial small subunit ribosomal RNA
Source: RNAcentral
GACGAACGCUGGCGGCGUGCUUAACACAUGCAAGUCGAACGGGGAGUGCAGCAAUGUACUCCAAGUGGCGAACGGGUGAGUAACGCGUAGACAACCUGCCUUCUAGAUGGGGACAACACCGCGAAAGUGGUGCUAAUACCGAAUGUGGUGGCGACGGCUCCUGCCGAUGCCACUAAAGGUGGCCUCUAUUUAUAAGCUACCGCUAGAAGAGGGGUCUGCGUCUGAUUAGCUAGUAGGCGGGGUAAAAGCCCACCUAGGCGACGAUCAGUAGCCGGUCUGAGAGGAUGGAACGGCCACACUGGGACUGAGACACGGCCCAGACUCCUACGGGAGGCAG